This 73-nucleotide transfer RNA is filed under the name Schistocerca americana (American grasshopper). RNAcentral describes it as "tRNA-Tyr". It matches the Rfam family "tRNA". From Rfam's summary of the family: Transfer RNA (tRNA) molecules are approximately 80 nucleotides in length. The record is from RNAcentral. Lineage: Eukaryota; Metazoa; Arthropoda; Insecta; Orthoptera; Acrididae.
CCUCUGGUAAGCUCAGUGGUAGAGCGGUGGACUGUAGAUCCAUAGGUCGCUGGUUCAAAUCCGGCCCAGAGGA